This is a non-coding RNA of Monodelphis domestica (gray short-tailed opossum), 42500 nucleotides long. Lineage: Eukaryota; Metazoa; Chordata; Mammalia; Didelphimorphia; Didelphidae. The record is from RefSeq and is a predicted model, not a curated record.
GAUUCAGUAACCCCAACAAAAGAAAGUAUUCAUUAAGAUUGUGAGAUGAAUCACCCGCCUUAUGUCCAAUGCAGAGGGAAUAAAAACUUCCCAUAAAUGACUUGGGUCAUUUAGAAAGUGGCCUUUUAAAGUGAAAGGCCAUGAGCUGAGACUGAUACCAAAGGUGUAUGGUCUCUCAGGGACACCACAGUGCUGAGCAUAAGACCAAUCAGAAAUAAGUGCUUGGUAAAUUAAAGUUGAAAUUCCCAAAGAGAGCUUUAAAUUUUUUUUCCACCCAGGAUUUGUCAGUGAUUUAAUUGCAUUGCUUUAUGUUAGUCUGGAGGAUAAAUAGGCUUUAACAUCCCAACUAAGUGUUGUACCUCAGCCCUCAGACUGGUACUAUCAAGAAUGAGAUGGUGCCAUUUAUUUGGCAAUGCUUUGUCAACCUCAGGGAUAGACUGAACACUGAGAUAUCACAAAUCCUGACUCAGACUCCUUCUGAUUUGUUUAUAAAUAAAUUGUUUAUCUUUUAUUUAAUAAACAUGUAUAAACAAAAUUAUUGUGAUUCCUAACAAUUAAUCAGAAUAUAUCCUCUCUGACUGAAAAUGGCCCCAUCUUCAGGAAUGGGCUCUGCCCGCCAGAUUCAAACUCCAACUGUCAUUCUCCCCCCAGAGCCUGUCACACGCCUCCAACCCCCACAUAAUGGAGCCAAGACUGAACAGUCUAUGUCCUGCAAAGGGCCAAAUCCCCAAUCCAAAUCCUAAAUCAAGCCUAAAUCCUUCACAAUGUUACAUGUGAAAGGGCAACCAAACACUAUGCUAGUGGGUUUAAUAGCUUGACAUUGGUCUAUAAAGAAAUUUCUUGUUCAGGCAUCUGAAAAGGAACCUGAUUAAACUAGAUGUUUUGAGGUCCUUCCAACUCUCAAAUUUUGAGAUUCUGUCUGAUGUUGAGUUGUGGAGGGUUUUGGCCGUAAAUCAAAUUUAGCCAAGGGUAAAAUGUUACCCGUUUCUUGAGAAUUUAAGCCUGAGAUGUGGCAGCCUUACAAUGGACAGACUGAACACUGAGAUAUCACAAAUCCUGAUUCAGGUUUUGUGCGUUCAUAACGAAAAGAAAAGACUGAUAGGCUCGCAGAACUGAAUAAUGGUGAUGAAUCCAUGGAGAUCCCCCUCCUUAGCAAGUGGGGACACAAAACUCUUUAUUCAUCUCCUUGCUCAUUCUUUUAGGCUAUGAUUUCUGACAGCCUUCCGUGGAGCCAACUUUGCUUCUUCAGAGAUCUUCCCUCCCUUGUACCCAGCUCCUAUUUAACUGCUGGCGUUUGAUUUGUUAGCCCCACCAAGUUAGUUGCUUCAGUUAAAUGCCCUGUUAGUACUAAUGAUUCAAGAAGCACUCUCUCUGUUUGAAACUGUCCCAUUCCUCAGGGAUAGGUUAUCCCCGCCUGAUUCUAACUCCAACUGUCAUUCACAGAAUCACAGAGCUACAGAAUUUUAGAGCUAGAGGGACUUUAGGCAGUCAUCGAGUACAGCCAGACAGGAGCUCUUCUCUGGACAUGGGAUGAUAAGGGAGCUGGCUCUAAGACUCUAUCACCAGCCCAUAUAUUCCUCAUACAAAGGACUCUAAGCUCAAUAAUCCAAGAACUUCAAAGCACCAGGUCACCAAACUGAACUCUAAUGACUCAUAAAACAGCUUUGCCAUUUCAAACAGCCAUUUUUUUUAAAGCUAAUGCCCACAUUUCCUGUUAUCUCAUAAAUCGGGUAUGACUAAAAUGUGACCAGAUUGAUAUCCACAAAUCAGUAAAAGACAUGAUCUGUGAGAAAGUAGAGACUCAUUCACCUGUUGACUUACAUACAGCACAAUGCCUCAGACAACCUAAGGAGGCAUUAAAAUGAACUAGCAAUUGUGUUGUACCCUAGAAAUUUUUUUAAACUGUUUUUAUUACAGCUUGGAAGCUGGCUCUUAGCCCAAGGGGCAAGAUAAGCCAUAGGCAUAAGCAUAGUUUUCCCUUUUUCUUUCUCUUCCACUCUGAAUCAUUUUGGGAAAGAAUGUAUAAGUAAGAUCUAGUGUUAAGAAAGAGUUAAAAUAUUUCUGUCUCUUGUUAGGACAGACCAUCUCUACAUGGAAGUGAAAUUCAAAAUGGUAGUGUGAUAUGAUGCAAACAGUACUAACUGUCAGAAUCCCUGGGUUGUUGUUUCUAUUUCAACUGUUAACCAUUCACCUCAUUGUGUGAGUUUAUGUAGGGAUACUGGUUUAUACCUGACUCAUGCAUACAGUUUUGUGAUUCCAUUGGUUUUGGGAACUCAUACUAGAGAAACAUCCUUUACCCUACGUAGAGAUUCAACUCCUCUCAACAUGGAGAGGUCCAUUUUUUAACCCAAGGAUUCAGAACUGAUAUAUAUUAGAAGAGAAACUUGAACCCAGCUCUUCCUGACUCAGAAGCCAGGUCUUCAUCCACUAUACUGCUUGCCUUUUAAACCAUCUAUUAAGGACCUAAAUUUAGCACAAUACUCUGAAAAAAUUAUUUACUGCCCACCCUUCCCUAGGAAUUUUACAGUUACUUUUUGUUACCUCAGUUUUCCAGUGAUAUCAAGGCUUUGGAGUAAGAGAAACUAUUCUUAAAAGAAUGCUUAGUAACCCAUGCUCUUAGGAAACAUAAUACUUCAUGAUGUAUUGGAAAAAUCAUAAGGAGACUAAUGUUCUGCUCUCUGUUUUGCUAGUCAUGUGACUAUAGGAAAGAAAACCAUGGUCCCAUUUUUCUUAUCUAUAAAAUAAUGUUGGGAUAAAAUUAACUUUAAGAUUCCUAUCACCUAUAUAAUUCUAAUAUUGGUGAUUUUUUAAUCUCAAAUUCAAAUCUUGAUUUUAUAGACUUACUUGGAGUAGAAGGGGAAGGACUAAGACAAAGAAUGAGGGUAGAUUAAAAGGAAUCAGUGAUCAAAGAACAAGCAGAUUUUUGAGGAGGAGAAAUGAAAAGGGGUUUUAAAAAAGAGAAAGAUAAAUAAAAAAGAAUAAAACAAAGGGGAUAUAUAGUUAGUUAGCCAUCAUAACUGUGGGUGUGAAUGGAAUAAACUCAGUCCUAAAAUAGAAGAAGAUAUCAGAAUGAAUUAGAAACCAGAAUCUAAUAAUAUAUACUGUAGGAGACACACUUGAAGCUGAGACACAGGGAGUUCAAAUAAGGAACUAGAGCAGAAUUUACCAUGCUUCAGCUGAAGUAAAAAAGGCAAGGAUAGCACUCAUGAUCUCAAAGAAAAAGAAAACCUAAUUAAAAGAUAUUAGUAAAUUACAUUUUGUUAAAAGAUGUCAUGAACAAUGAAAUAAUAUCAAUACUGAAUAUAUUUGCUUCAAAUAGCAUGGUAUUCAAAUUCUGAAGAAAAAAUUUAAUGGCUUAUUGAGGAAAUACUCAGUAAAACCAUACAAGUAGGGAACUUCAAUUUACUCUUCUCCAAUUUAAGCAAAUCUAACUAUAAAAAGAAUACAAAAGUUACAAAGAUUAAUAAAUUUAAGAAAAGUUAGAUAAAAUAGACUGGAAAAUACUGAAUGGAAAUAGAAAGGAAUAUAUCUUUUCUUAGUUGUCUUUGGCACUUUCAAAAAUCUGUCAUGUGUUAGAUCAUAAAAAUCUCACAAAUUCAGAAAAACAGAAAUAUUAAAUGUAGUUUUUUCAGACCAUAACACACAAAAAAAAUACAUUAAAUAAAGGGCAUUUGAAGUCUAGAUUAAAAAUUAAUUGAAAACUAAAUAAUCUAAUUCUAAAGAAUGAGUGGGUAAAAAGAAACUAUAGAAAUAAAAUUUUCACUAAAGAUAAUGGUGACAAUGAGACAAAAUAACAAAAUUUGUACAAUGCAGCUAAAUCACUACUUAAUGGGAAAAAAAUAUUUUGAAAUGCUUACAUCAAUAAAAUAGAGAAAGAGCUGAUCUGUUGAUUGAGCAUGCACCUAAAUAAACUAGAAAAAGGACAGAUUAAAAAACCCCAACUAAACCCCAAAAUAGAAAUCCUUAAAAAUAGAAAGAUGAAUAAAGUUAAAAGUAAAACCAAUCUUGAAUUAAUAAAUAAAACUAAGAGUUGGUCUUAUGGAAAAAGUGAAUAAAACAGAUAAGCCAUUGGCUAAUUUAAUGAUAAGGAAAAAUAAAAAGUUUCAAAAAUGAAAAAAGUAAAUGUAUAACCAAUGAAGAUGAAAUGAAAGCAAUAAUAAUUACAAACUAUUUUGCCCAAUUCCCCUCUUGGAUCACUGCCUUGUGAUGGUAGAGGGGCUUGAGUAGUCCAAUGAAACUAGGGGCAAGACAAAUAGGUCAUAGUGCAGAGUUCUGACAAAAGGUGAUACACUGGAAAAGAAUAUGACAAACCACUCCAGUAACUUUACCAGGAAAAUCACAAGAAGAGUAUUAAAAUGCGAAAAGAUAUGAUAUUAGAAGAUGAGCCCCUUAGGUCAGAGGUCCGCAUAUGCUUUGGUCUAUGGGGUCAUGAAGAGUCAGACAUGACUAAAUGACUGAACACAGAACAUUUUUGCCCAAUUACAAGCAAAUAAAACUGACCACCUAAAAUAAAUGGAUGAAAAUUUACAAAAAUAUUUAUUGUUCAAAUUAACAGAAAAGAAAAGAGAAUAUUUAAAUAACUCCAUCUUGGGGGAAAAAUUGAAGAAGCUAUCAAUGAGCAUCCUAAGAAAAAAAUCCCAGGACCAGAUGAAUUACAAGACAAUUCGACCAAACAUUUAAAGAAUGAUAAAUUCCAAUAUUGUGUUAAGUAUUUGUAAAAACAAAUAAAAAAAUAAUUUUAUCAAAUUCCUUCUCUGAUACAAAUACAGUUUUGAUACGUAAACCAGGGAUAGUAAAAACAGAGAAAGGAAACUAUAGAUGAAUUUCCCUAAAGAAUAUUAAUGCAAAUACUGUUAAUAAAAUACAAGCAAAGAGAUUAGAGCAAUAUUUCACAAAGAUCAUACAAUAUGACCAGGUAGGGGAUACACCAGGAAUGAGGGCUGGUUUAAUAUUAGGACAACCACAAAGAUAAUUAGCCCUAUUAAUGAUAAAAGUAACAAAAAUCAUAUGAUUAUACCAAUCAAUAGAGAAAAAGUUUUGAAAAAUGCAAAACCUCUUCCGAUUUAAAACACUAGACAGCAUAGGAAUCAAUAUAGUUUUUUAAAAUGAGAAAUACUAUCUAAAAACCAGAACAAGCAUUAUCUAUAAUAGGAAUAAACUAGAAACCUUCUCAUUUAGAUCAGCAGUAAAGCAAGAAUGUCCAUUAUCACCAUUGUUAUUAGGAAUUGAAGGAAGAAUACAAAAAGACAAUGAGGAAACAAAACUAUCAUUUUUUGCAAGUGAUAUGAUGGUAUACUUGGAGAAACCUAGAGUAAAUAACAAAUGACAUAAAACAAACCAUUAACAUUUCUAGAAUUACCAAAAAAAUUCAGCAGGAAAAAGUAGAGAAAUUCCACUUAAAAGAACUAUAGAUGGUAUAAAAUAACUGGGGGUCUACUUACCAAGACAAUGCCAGUAACUCUAUGAACACAAUCACAAAACAUUUUUCAGGGACAGCUGGUGGGUUCAGUGGAUAGAAAGCCAGGUCUAGAGAUAGGAAGUCCUGGGUUCAAAUUUGACCUCAGACACAUCCUAGCUGUGUGACCCUGGGCAGGGCAUUUAAGUCCCACUGCAUAGCCUUUACCAUUCUUUUGCCUUGUAACCAAUACUUAGUACUGAUUCUAAGAAGAUAAGGACUUUUAUUUAAAAAAUGAAGACCCCACACAAAUAUAAAUCUAAACAAUCAGAGAAAUAUUUAUUGCACAUGAAUAGGAUGAGCCAUUAUAAUAAAAAUGAAAAUACUACCUUAAUUGGUCAGUGUCAUACCAAUCAAACUGCCAACAAAUUAUUUUCUAGAGCUAGAAAAAAAUAACAGAAUUCAACUGAAGGAACAAAAAAAGGAAAGGAAUAUUAAAAAGAAUCUAUAGGUGGGGUGGGGGAGGGGAGGAAGAGGGAGAGGGGGGUAAAGGAAAAUAACCAGAAGUACCAGACUCAAAAUAUACUACAAAGCCGUAAUCGUCAAAGCAAUUUGAUACUGGGUGAGAAAUAGAGUGAUUGAACAAUAGAAUACAUUAGUCUCACAAUAUAUGGAAAGAGUAAAUUACCACAUUAACCUAGUGUUUAAUAGAUCCAAAGAUUUCAACUUUUGGAGCAAGAAUUCACUAUUUGACAGAAAGUGCUGGUAAAACUGGAAAGUAAUCUGCCAGAAACAAGGCAUAGACCCAACCCUCAUACAUAUACCAAGAUAACCUGAAAAUGGGUAUAUGAUUUAGUCAAAUAGCGGUAUCAUUAGCAAAUUAGAAGAACAAAGAAAAAUUACAUGUCAAGUCUAUGGAUGGAUAAGGGAAGAGUUCAUGACUAAACAAGAAAAUAGAGAUCAUGAGAGGUAAAAUGUAUGAUUUUGAUUACAUUAAAUUAGGUUUUGCACAAAAACAAAGCCAAAACUAAAGGGAAAGCAGAAAACUGGGUGGGCGGAUGGACUUUCACAAUUAGUUUCUUUGAUAAAAUGCCAUAUUUCUCAAAAAAUAAGGAACUGAUUUUCCCCAGGAUCACAAAGACAUUACAUGUUAGGGGUAAGACUUAAACCCAGGUCUUUCUGAUUUCAAAAUAAGCUGUCCACUGUGUCAUAAUAGUUUUCAUAGUGACAACAAACAAAACUAAAAAAUGGUUAUUUUAAAAGAUUAAUAAAAGUCUUCAAAUCCUCUAAAAUAGGAAAUUUAUAGUACUACAGUGAACAGGAUAAAAUCACAACAAAUAAAGAAAUAAAAAAGAAUUAUCAUAACAUUCUUCCCAGUUGUAUUCUAGCAAAACCAUAACUUUAAAGUAAAUGGAAAAUUACUACCAAAAUAUAAAAUAACCAUAAUAAGAGAACAUGAGAGAUCUUAAUACAAUCUAAGAAUAUGAUUUUUUAAUGUUAUUUAGUCAAUUUAGAACAUUAUUCCUUGUUUACAAGAAUCAUAUUCUUUCCCUCCCUCCCCUCUCCCCUUCCUUCCUGUAGCUGGCUCACAAUUCCACAACUCCACAAUUCCACAAUUACAUGUGUCCUUGAUCAGAACCUAUUUCCAUGUUGUUGAUGUUUGCACUAGGGUGAUCACUUAGUCUACAUCCCCAAUCAUAUCCCCUUGACUCAUAUGAUCAAGCAGUUGUUUUUCUUCUGUGUUUCUACUCCCACAGUUUUUCCUCUGAAUGUGAAUAGUGUUCUUUCUCAUAGAUCCCUCCAAGUUGUUCAGAAUCACUGCAUUGCUACUAAUGGAGAUAUCCAUUACCUUUGAUUGUACCACAGUGUGUCAGUCUCUGUGUACAAUGUCCUCCUGGUUCUGCUCCUUUCACUCUGCUUCAAUUUCUGGAGGUCUUUCCAGUUCACAUGGAAUUCCUCCAGUUUAUUUUUUCUUUGAGCACAAUAGUACUCCAUCACCAACAUAUACCACAAUUUGUUCAGCCAUUCCCCAAUUGAAGGGCAGCUCCUCAUUUUAAGAAUAUGAAUUUUUAAAUGUUAUAAAGAUAUUAUUAAAGAAAAAAAUCCUGGCCUAAUCAGAUUUAUCGGUAAAAUUAUCAAAUGUUCAAAGGGUAAUAAAUAUCUAUGUUAUGAAUUAUUCUCAAAAAUUCAGAAAGAAAAUAGUCUAUUAAACUCUUUUUAUAUGACAAAUAUUCCUAAAACAGAGAAGGAAAAAAUCAAAGAAAGAUAAUUAUCUAUCAAUAUCAUGUGGAGGCCCGAAGGAAAAGGCCUUGUAUCUCUUUCUUAUUAACAUGAAUAAUUUCAUCUUAAAACUAGUCCCAGGUUCAGGCAAAGUAAAAUUUUCCUAUUCCCUAUUCCUGUUAUCUCCUUGAGAAAAAGAAGUUGCCUUAUUCUAUUUGCAAAGCUAAGGAGAAAUAAAACAAGUUUUUUCCCUCAAGUAUAAAAAGUCAAUUAUAUGCUCAGUUUGAUAGAAUUCUUCCUUCUAAUUCCUUGCAAUGACUUUAUGUCCCUAAAAUAAAACAUUGGAUAAUCAUUGUUCAUGCAUGGACCCUGGCAGUCUAAAAGAGAAUGACACUACCAAAACUAAUUUUGUUUUAGUGAGAUAUCAAUCAAACUACAUACUAAGUGGUUACCUUAAAGAUUUAUUCAAGGUAACAAACAAAAUUCAUUUGGAAGAACAAAUAGUCUAAAACAGUGAUGGUGAACCUAUGGCACAGGUGUCAAAAAUGACUGCUCCCCUCCCCCUCUCCCUCCAGGCCUGAGGACAUUUUUCAUACACCCUGCCCCUCAGCCCAGCAGUCCAAUGAGAGCACUUUCUCACUCCUCUGGGUGGGGCAAGGGGUGGGUCAUGCCUGGCACUCUUGGGGGAGGGGUACAUCACAAGGUCUCUGGGGGAUGGGUGGGCACAGCAUUCAGUCUAAGGGAUGGAGUGGUAGUAGGGGCCAACAUUCUAUCUCUAAAAGGUUCACCUUCACUGGUCUAGAAUCUCAAGGGAAAUGUUAAAUAUCAAAAAAGUGAAAGACAACUAGUAAUCUGAAAUUAUAAGGUAACAAUCAACAAAACUAUUUGCUAUUGGUUAAAAUUAGAAAAGUGAAUCAGUGGAACAUGAUAGGCAAGGAAAAGAAUCAAUUAAAAAUAAUAGCCUAGUGUUUUGUAAAUCUUAAAAUAUAAAUGACUGGAAGAAGAAAUUCUUGAUCACAAGCCACAAGUAGAUACUGACCUGAAAUAUAAAUGGUGUUAUAAAAAAUUGGAGGAAAAUGGAUGGUGGUAUAAGAUAAAGCAAAUAAUUUCAGUUACUUCAAAUUGAGAAGUUUUUUGCACAAACAGAAUUAAUACAACUAGAAAAAGAGGAGAAAUUGUUGAAUGAGAAAAAAUAUUUUCAAUUAAUUUCUCUGACAAGAUUGAUAGGAUUAUAUGGAGAAUUAAUAACAAAAAAAUUAAAAAAUUCUCCAUUAGAUAAAUGGUCAAAAAUAUGAGCAAACCCUUCUCAAAAGAAUUAUAAACUAUUAACAAUGAUAUGAAAUUCUGUUCCAAACCAUGAAUAAUAAGAGAAAUACCCAUUAAAAUAACUGUGAGGUUUUACCUCAUACCCAGCAAAUUGGCAAAGAUUACAGAAGUUGACAACAGGUAAUGUUGGAUUGGCUACAGGAAGACAGAAACACUAAUACACUCUCGGUAGAGAUGUGAUUAGUCCAAUUGCUGUAAAGCAAAUUGGAAUUAUGCUAUUGAAAGAAGUGACUGAAAUAUUAACCCUUUGACCCUGAGGUCCCACUGCUUGUCAUAUACCCCAAGGAGGUCAAAGAAAGAAAGAAAGGUCUCACAUAUACCAAAUAUUAAUUGAAGCACUUCAUAGUCACCAAGAAAUAGAUUCUUGUGAUCACAGGACUUAAAGCAGAAAGGUCUUCAAGAAGCUCCCUAGUCCAACUCCUUCACCUUACAAAUAAAGAAACUGAGGCCAGAGAGAUUAGGAGACUUGCCCAAGGUCACACAGGUAGUUAAGUGGCAUUGCUGAAAUUUGAAUCAAGGUCCUCCAACUCCAAAUCUUCAUUUUUCUUUCCGCUGCAUACCAUCACCUUCCAUCUCAAGUUUAGCUUGGGAAUAGCUAAACAAAUGUGACAAAAAUGUUACUACGUUAUAAGAAAUACGAAGAAUUCAAGGAGGAAAUGGUGAUGAUUAAUUUAUAACAAUUGAUACAGUGUGAAAUAAAUAGAACCUAUAUAUAUACACAUAAAUAUAUAUAUACAUAUAUACACACACAAUGACUACAAUGAUGAAAGUAGAGAGAAAAAUAAAGGAAACUGCUGUGUGAUUAUAAUCUCCAAACUUGGCUCUAGAGGAGAUUUGAGAAAAUGCACCUCCAUUCAUUGCCAAGGUGGAAAACUACAUGUGCGGAAUUUUGCAUAUACUAUCAGAUACUGUCAAUUGGUAGGAUAGGGGAGAGAGUUGGCUUACUGCAUUUUUUUUCUUGUGUAGUUUUUGCUAUAAAGGAAGACUUCUUGGGUAGGAGAAAGAAGAGAUAUAUUCAAAAACAUACAAAAACCAAAAGCAUCAAUAAAUGAGGAUUUUUUUUAAAUAUCAAAAAGAAAGAGGGAGAGAAAAAUGAGGAUAAAGUAAAAUGGCAAAUAGAUGAUGUGGCCCCAAAUGGAAAAAAACAAUGAUCCAGGAACAGGUAAAAAUUGAAGUACAGGUUUCACACUAUUCUUACCACAUCUCACCAUCAUCAAUGCUGGUUCUAUGGAGACUUUUCUAGAUCAUCAGCAAGAGAAAAGCUAGAGAUAUUUGGUUAUAGGAAUACCAAGUCAAGCUUAAAAGCAAAGGACAGAGAAGGAGUGUACCUUCUUCUCUAUUCUGGAUACUUAAUAUCUUUGACACCACUUCUUGGACACAAGUACCAUUGAGAUGCUGCUGUACCGACCUAGAUUUGCUUUGUCUCCACUUUGACAUUUGAAUCAUUACCUGCAAUUUUUAUUCUUUGGAAAGUGUGGUGUUCCACAAUUCUCAGCCAUAUAGCAUCUAAAGUAACAUUGCAAUAUCACAGAAAUAACUCCUGAUCUUUAUCACCAAACUUGACAUCCCUCAAUGCCAGACUUGAAUCAUAAAAUCCUAGAAUUUUUAAGGUUAGGAGACCCAGGGGCUAUCUAGUCCAACCCAUACCCAAAAAAGAAUCCCCAUCAUAACAUAUUUAACAACUCAGUCUCUGCUUUAAGAAUACCAAAGAUGAAACCUUAUUUCUUAGGAAGCAUUUUUAGACAACUAUACUUGUUAGGAAUCCUUUUUCUUGGCAAUAAACCUAAACUUGCCUCUUGGCAAAUUCCAUUGCUAUUAAUUCUGCCCACUGGGGCUAUAGUAGUCCUGGAAUUAAUUUAGGUCUAGUAGCAAAUGAUAGCAAUUGAUAAGUAACUUUGCUCCAAGAUGAUUGACCUGGGAUAUUGCCUUUUCGUGGGUUCUUUUGUUCCUCUUGUGGAGAAUAAAUCUCAGGAGAUUUGUUUGCUCCUCAGGGGCUCUUUGUACCUUACAGAAAGAAACUCUGGCUCAAUGGGGGCACCUCUACCUGAGAUUACUACACAUCUCUUUAUAGACAGCAGAAGACAUGGGGUCUGCCUCUAAAACAUUAUGGUUUUAUAGUCUAGAAAGGACAAGGUUCACCCAGUGUGGCUGGGUAGCCUGAUAUGGGUAUCCAGUUGUGAAGGAAAAGUAGAGAAGGCAAAGGAACCAUGUCCUAGCCAGAAACUUGGGAAUCGGUAUAGGUAACAUGUAGGUCAAAGCACCCACAAGCCCAUGGUAUUACUUGAGCUAUUUUUACUAUUUCUAACUUGGAACCAAUGAGGUCCAUUCACUUUAUUAUCUUGUUGCAUGCUUAGCCCACAAUUGUCCUCUAACCCAGAAGUAAUGGUCUCAAGGAUGUGGGGAUGAAAGAGAAACCCAGGACUAGCAUCUGCCAUCAUGAAACUGGAAUCCAAGGGUUGAGAGGAGCCACACUAUUGAGGUUUAUUUUUUCAUUCUAUGUAGAGAUGCCAAUUCCCAAAAUAUCACUGCUCUUUAGGGCAAUGGUUACCCUGAUAGCUCAGUCUGUGAGGGACAGAGAUCAGAGAUAGACUGCAGGUAGACCAGUAAUUGAAUUAAACACAACACAGCUGGUAAGAGCUGAUGAAGAAUUUUUCCUCUCAUGUGAAGGACUCCAAGGUACAGAGAGGAGCUCCUCUCUGGAUGACCUUUGGGAGCUCCUCAGACUAAUGAAAUAAAUCUCUAGCUCCCCAGAAGCCAAAUCUCCACAAAGGGACUUUGUAGCACACUAUUACAGAUAACAGAAAAAAGGGGAGUCACAUUCAUAGGGUAUUUUUGGGCUUCUUAAGAAAAGCAAACAUUCGAUUAUAUAUUUUAAAACCCCAUAUGCCUUAUUGAAUCAAAACAGAUUUUAGCCUUGGCCUGAAACCAGGGCCAAACAGAACAAGUCUAAGCCCUUUUCCAUAUGAUAACCCUUCAGGUACUUAAACACAGCCAUCAUGUCCCCUCCAUAGCCCCUUAUCCAAACUAUAUGUCCUCAGUUACUUCAACUGGUACUUAUAUGACUAGACUCAAUGUGCUUCAUCUCCCUAGUUGUCAUCUUCUGGAUGCUCUCCAGCUUAUCAAAGUUAGAUAUUUCAGAUAUGUUUGACCAGGGCAGAAUAGAGAGGUACCAUUACCUCUUUAUUCCUAAAAGCUAGGACUUUCAAUGCAGAAUAAUAAGGCUGCUUUAUCUUCCAUUGGCUACCACAUCAUUCUAUGAACUCCUAUUAAACUCAUAUUAAAACCCUCAGAACAUUUCCAGACAAACUGUUGUCUCGUUGUACUUCCUUGACUCUGCACUGUGAAGUUGAUUUUUAAAAUCUGAAUAUGUGAAUUUAUGUUUUCCCCACUGAAUUUGAUAGUACCAUAUUUAAUCCAGGAUGCCCUACAUUCCUGUCCCUUCCUCUGGGUCAUCUGCAAAUUUUGCUCCAAAUUAUUGAUAAAAAUGUUAAACACAAGGCCAAGAACAGAUCCAUGGGAAACUCCACUAGAGACUCCCUUCCAAGGUGACAUCAAACCAUUAAUGACUAUUCUUUGAUUCAGACUUAUUCAUCCAAUUCUGAAUUCAUCUCAUUGUAAUAGUAUCUAGUCCAUAUUUCUUCACCUCUCCCCAAGAUUAGUAUGAGACAUUAGUGAAUGCUUUUCUGAAGUCUGGAUAAACCAUAUUGACAGUAUUUUCCUGAUUUGAGUUUUGGUAAUCCUGUCAAAAAAAGAAAUGAGGUUAGCCUGAUAUGCUCUAUUCUUGAUGAGGCCAAAUGGACUGUUUUUCUAUGGUCAUCACUUCUUUUUCUAAAGGUUCACUAUCUCUUCAAUGAUCUGGUCUAAAGAAUUCUUCCAAAGAAUUAAAUUCAAGCUCAUCCUGUUGGAACCUAUGGACUCUUUUCGGACAUUUGUCUUUCUCUUUUGCUCCUCCUCUCAAAGAUCUUUUAAGUAUCAAUGACUGUUGCUUAGGAAUCACAUCCACAAAUUCUUUCAGUUAAAGGAAGUAAUUCUUCUGAUCUGCAUGACUUGAAAUGGGGAACCACUAGGUUCUCUCUUAUUAUCUCCUUACUUAUCUUGGGCAUCAAUUCGCUCUUGGGAAUGUUCUGUCAUUUUCAAUGAAACGCCAUUUUCCUUGUCAGAGAAACCAGAAGCAAUAUAAGAAUUAGUUCUGCUUUCUCUCUCUUGUAAGUUCUCCUCCUUCCAUUCACCCCAAAUAAGUGUGAUUUCCUUCCUUGGUCCUCUACUUUGCCUCCCCACUCCACUAUAACUUAAAAUCCAACUUUUUGUUGUUGUUGUUGCCCUGGGCUUUUCUGGAUUGCUUUUUUUGAGCUUUAUCACUCCUGAUGUUAUUUUUUUAAAAGACUGGGCCAGAUAUAUUCUCUGUCACCUAUCUUCGUUUUCCUUUUCUAUGCAUAUAUUUUAGAAAUUUUAAAUUUAGUUGUUGAUUUCCCUAUGGGUCCCCCAGGGAAAUGUAUCAGAAAAUUCCCAUUUAUCCUUUAUUGGAACUGUUUCCCUUUGUACCUUUAGAAUUGCAUCUUGAGAGUUUCCUAUCCCUUCUUGACUGAUUUCCCUUCUCAUCUUAGCCCAUGGGCUCUUACAUAGUCUUCCUCACAUUUCUCUGAAAUUUACUUUUCAUAAAUCUGGGGUUCAUGUCAGACCAGGUCCAGUUUUCCUCUCCUCUGUCAAAAAUUUUGGGAGAAAAUGGUCAUAUACUUCCCCAUUGCACCCAUCAUUUCCACCAAAGAAACCAGUUCAUCCCUAUUAAGAAUUGGAUUCAAUAAAAAAAAAUUUCCCUUGUUGGUUCUUCCACCAUUUGAAGAGUUAAAAUUAUCAUUAAGGCAAGUCAAGAAGUCAUAAUCUAGCCAUAAGUUUCAUUCUACAGAACCUCAGUGAUUCCUAUGAGGUAAUAUUUCACUCCUUGUAUCAUGGCUUCUGGUUCCUCUUGCUUAUAUUCUAAACUUUAGGCAUUUGUAUAUACAUAUUUAAUAAUUGUAAUGGCAAUAAUAUUUAUAUAGUGCUUUAAGUUUUACAAAGUACCUUAAAAAUAUUUUAUCCUUACAACAAUACUGGGAAUUAGAUGCUAUUACUAUCAACCUCAUUUUUCAAAUGAGGAAAGUGGAAAAGACAAAAGACAGACAAGUAACUUGUCCAGAGCCACUCAGAUGAAUUUGAACUCACAUCUUCCUGACUAUAGCCCCAACAGUCUAUUUACUAUGACACCUAUGUUCCAUUUGAGGUUGUCCGGUUGGUUUUACCACUGGUUCCUUUCUUGGAUUUUUUUUCCUUUAAACUUCUGGCUGUCCUUAUUCCUUCACUAUAUCUAUUCUCUAUGGCAGGGUUGUCAAACUUAACAAAACUCCAGAGUGCUGCCUGAACUAGAUUGAAAUGCAAUUGGGAAAUGUUUAAGGAAAUAAAUAAAAAUACAACAUAGGUAAUGUUAAUUUGUGAGUUUCUAAGUCAAUAUUUAGCCUGCAGAUGUCUGUUUCUAUUUGAGUUUGACCUUAUAGUUCUCUAAUAUCUUAGUGCUUAAAUAUAAACAGUUUUCAUCCUCUUUGAAUCUUUUUUCUUUGAAAGCCCUUUUGUUUAGCACAGUAUUUGGAUCAUAGUAUAUCUAUAACAUGGUUUUUUAAAAUAGCUAAUAAGGAAAUACAUUUUGAAUAAUUUCAGAUAUAUAAUCAAUAUCAUAUUGCUUGCCUUCUCCAGGGAAAGUUGAUAUUUUAAUGAAUGUUUUAAAAUGUAAUUGGGAACUAUUUAAUUAAACAACCAUGAAUAAACAUAUGUGAUAAAAAUUAAAGCUUGUUGAUUUGCUCAUUUUUGAGAAUAAUAAAUAAAAUCAUUGAGAGUUGUAAGUCACCCUCGAUGUCCUCUAGAUCAACUCCUUAGCAAUAGAGAAACAAACAAAAUAUUACACUGUUAGUAAAAUGAAUUAGGGCAGAUUUUUUCAAAUGGAAAAUGUCAAUCUAUAACAAAAGCUAAAAAAAUUGAUCAUAUCCUUGACUCAGUGAUCCCACUACUAAAAUUGUGUCCAAGGGAUGCUUUUUUAAAAGUGGGGAGGGAAAUCUAUCAGAUAGCCACUAUGAUCUUAUGCACUAAAAGAUUCAUUUGCACUUCAAUUAAGAGGAAAUUCCUGGGAAAGUGGCAAACUCUCUCUGGUUGUAAACUGGCAAAGAUAAUAAAAGAUGCAAAUAAUCAAUGCUGGAAAACAUGUAUUAAUGCUCUAAUGAUUGAGAAUAGAUUAGAUUUAAACCAAGAAUGCAAGAUUUGCUCCGGAUUAUGAAAAUUAUAAACAUUUUAGACCAUACAAGUAAAAAAAAUAACAAAAAUUACAUUUUAUCAAUAGAUUUUAAAAAGUUUGGAAAAAACACAACCACCUUGCAUGUUAAAAAUAUUAUAAAAGCAUAGGAAUAGACCAUCCCUUUUUUAUGGUAAAUUUUAUCUAUGUAAAACAAGGAGAUACCAUUUUAUCUGUAAUGGAAAAACACUAAAAGCCUUUCAAAUAAAAUCAUAAAUCAAGUAUAUUCAUUGCCACUAGUAUUUUGAGAUAUAUUUCUUGAGAUCCUAACUAUGACAAUAAGACAAAGAGAAUUUGAAAAAAUAACUGUAGGCAAAGAUGGAACAAAACUGUUGCUUUUUGCAAUUUCAGUUUACUUAGAAAGUCCUAAAAAUGAAUAACUUCAGUAAAUCAACAGAAUGUAAAAUAAACUCAAAAAAUGAUCAGCCUUGUUCUACCAUAAAAAAUGACCUGAGAAAAACCAGGACUUAUAUGAACUAAUGUGGAGUGAAAUAAGUAGACCCCAAGGAAAUAAUUUAUACAAUGACUACAAUAUUGUCUAGAAAAACAUCUUUGAAAGACUUAAGAAUUAUAAUCAACAUAAUGAGCCACCAUGAUUAUAAGAGAAUGAUGAUGAAUUCUUUUAUUCACCUGGGCAGAAAAGUGGGAGGUCCAUGCAUGGUCUGACUCCAAGGAGCAUGCAAUGAACUAAUCAAAGGAUGGGAAGAUGGGUCUCAUCCUACCAUCCCCAAAAUAGCCAGUUGUGGACUUUAUACUCAUACACUCACCUCUACAUUUCAGAUUAUAACCUCUCACCUGUUUUAACUAAUAGUAGCCUCCUAAUUGGUAAACCUGACCCAUCUCUCCUCAUUCUAAUCCAUCCUCCCCAGUCAGUUGCCAAAGUGAUUUUUCUAAAGCACCACUUAACUCCAAUGACUCUCUAUUGAUUAUGGGAUCAAAUAUUAUAACUUUAUCUCAUCCUUUUGAAUUUUUAUGUUUCUAUUUAUUUUGUGCAAGUACACUGGUAUAUAUAUAUGCUUUAUUAGUUAUGCAAGCUCAAUUUUUUCUGAUAUAGGAAUUUGAUCAAAAAAGUUUAUAGACUAGAAAGAGACCUAUCACAAGCAUAACUAAUGAAUGAAUUUAUUUUGCUUGAUUAUACUUAUUUGUUUUGGAAUGCUUUGUAGAGUAGAGAGAUUUAUAGAAGAGAUGGACAGUGAUGUUAAAAAAAAGAACAUUAAGAAAAGAACAUACAUGACGCAUUUAAAAUAUAAACAGCAGUGAAUAGAAGAAAAUUCAGAAACAGAAGCAAAAAGUAGGGUAGUUCUGGAAUAACUGUAAUUGUAUACUUUUAAAAAAACAAGCUGCACAAAACAAAGAUUCAGAGUUCCACACCCAAUUCUCUGUUUUGUUCUUCUUUACAUACAGAAAUGUUUUUUAUAUUUGUCAACUUAGCAAUAGAGAAUUUUUUAAACCAUAUUCCAAAUGAAGAUACAAAUUGUCCCAAUCGCUCUGGGAAACAAUUUUGAAGUAACAAAAGUGAUUAAGUGUUUUUAUCUUUUAACUCCAUUAUACCCAUUGGCAGUUGUGUCUAUAGAUUACAAAUGAAGAAAGAUUUGAGACAGGGUGAUCAAAUAGAAGGCUAUUGUAAUGGGGGUGGGGGGGACUGGGCAUUUCUCUCCCCACAAUAGAUCAAAGAUAAGGAGAAGUACAAUAAGUAGCAAAAUAUUUAUAUCACCACUUUAUGCACUAGAAACUAGAAAUGAAAUGGAUGUACAUUGACUGAGGAAUAGCGUGUGCUGUAUUUCUUUGUUACAAGAGAUUAUAUGAGCGUGGUGAUGUCAGGAAAUAAUGACACUUUUUAAACUAUAAUAUUUGCUUUAUAAAUGAAGUGAAUGAAAUAGAAUGGGACAAAUCACUCUUAGUGGAUUUUGUUUUAAUGUAGCAAUGUGAGGAGAGGGAGAACUUUGGAUGGGACUUUAUGCCCAACCCCUCAAAACACUACACUGAAAUAGUUCCAAUUCUCUGUAGUGCUAUGGCCCUGUAACUAUUCUUUAGCAAUGAGACAUUCAUUCUGACAAAAAACAAUUUGGGGAAUUUAACAUGUGUGUUGACUUUUCCUCAAAUACCAUAACUUCCAGGACCUACUACUACACUCCACCUAAAUUACAGAGAAUAGUCACAUCCUUGACCUCAUCAUCCCCCACAAAUAUUUUUCCUCAUUGAUAAAGAAUUGUGAAAUUCUUUUAUCUGAUUAUAACCUUCUAUCACUCUAUCUUUCCCUAUGCCUAAGUCUCCUAAAGUUGUUCUCUGUCUUAAGACUCUCAUGCCCUCCACCUCGCAGUACUUUCUCAGUUCAGCAUCCCUUCUCUGAACAUUGUUGUUCAGUUGUUUUGUUGUCCGACUCAGACAGACCCCAUUUGGGGUUUUCUUGGCAAAGAUACUGGAAUGUUUUGCCAUUUCCUUCUCCAGAUCAUUUUACAGAAGAGGGAACUGAGGCAAAUAGGGUUAAGCAAUUUGUCCAGGACCACACAACUUCGUUAAAUUAACAGCGUUAAGUUAACAGUGUAGUUAAGUAUCUGAGACUGGAUUUGAACUAAUAAAGAUGAGUCUUCCUGAUUCCAAGUCCAAUACUCUCUCCACUGUGCCAUCUAACUAACUGUUCCUUCUCUUAUGAUACUUUCUUCCUUUUUCCAUCUCAAACCUUAGUGGCACAGUGCAACUUUAAACUAAUCUCUAUUCUCCAAUACCUUGUUUCCUUGUCUUGUUACCAAUAUACAUUUUCAAAUUUGGGUUCCUUCCAUCAUCUAUCUCCUACACUUCUCAUCUAUUGCUUAAAAGUCCCAAAACUCUACUGACUUGAUCCACUACAAAUUUGUUAUCUGAACUCAAUUGGCAUUCACAACCAUAAGGCAAACUUAUUUAACCUCCCUCCCUAAUUGAUUAUCCUAUUCUCUGUAACAAUUCUUCCAAACUUCCUUUUCUCCAAAUUUCCAUUGAAUUUCCCCUCUCCAUCUUUUCAAUUGAGGACUUUGCCUUAUAUUCAAUUGAUAAAAAUCAAAGCCAUUUGCCAGACUCCCUCUUUUCCUUUCCACCUGACAUCAUCUGAAGGGGAGGGAGGGAGGGAGAGAGGGAGAGAGAGAGAGAGAGAGAGAGAGAGAGAGAGAGAGAGAGAGAGAGAGAGAGAGAUGUCCUUUCUUUCUCAAACUACUUGAAAAUGUAAUCUUUGUCCAGGGGUUCCACUUACUCUGCUCUCAUUCGCUCCUAAAUUAAUUGUAAUUUAUUUCCCAUCUCAUCACUCUAAGAACUGCUCUUUCCAAAACAAAGAUCUUUUAAUUUCUAGAAUAGAAGAUCUUUCUCAGUCCUCCUUGCCAACUUAUUGGGGAUCCUCCCCUGCCUCCUUUCGGAGUUUUCCAAACAGUACUCUCUCUUGGUUCUCUUCAUGCCUGUUUAAGUGCCCCUUCUCAGAAUCAUCAUUCAGGUUAUACCCACUAAUUGUGGGCAACCCAAGGCUCUUCCCUCUUUUUUUUCCUCUAUACUCUUUCAUUUGGUGACCUCAUCAUCUCUAUGCUAAGGACUCAAAAAGCUAUACACCUAAUCUAAUCCCUGUCCUGAGCUCGAGUCCCACAUCAAUAUAUUUUGGACACUUCAAAUGGGUUCUUUCAAUAUCACCUUAAAUUCAUCAUGUGCAAAAUAGCACUCAUAAACCCAGUAACUAUGUGAAUAUAUUUUCAAAACAUUCUUCACACAAAUAGUCAGAACCAAACAAUUGAAAAAAUAUUCAUUUCUCAUGGAUAGGCUGAGUCAAUAUGAUAAAAAUGACAAUCUUACUUAAAUUAAUUUGCCUGUUCAGUGACAUACCAAUCAAAGUACCCAAAAAUUAUUUCAUAGAACUAGAAAAAAUAAUAACAAAAUUCUUCUGGAAGAAAAAAAGUCAAGAAUACCAAGGGAAUCAAUGAAAAAAAAGUAUGAGGGAAGGAGGCCUAUCUGUACCAGAUUUCAAGUCAUACUAUAAAGUGGUAAUCAUAAAAAAUAAUCUGAUACUGGCUAAGAAAUAGAGUAAUGAGUCGAUAGAAUAGGUUAGGUAAUCACUCUCCACUCACACAGCACCAUCCUAUUACAGUGACGUCCUAUUUGAUCUCCCUGGAUUAAAUCUUUUCUCCAUUCCAAUCCAUUCCCCUCACAACUGACAAUGUGUAUGGGUGUGUUUUUUAAAAUACAGCCCUGACCAUGUGUAGUAGGUAAGAAUUGACCAAUCCAGUCUGGUUAUCUUGGGUUCAAGAUUGGAAUGAAAAUGAGACACUCAUAGUCCAUCGAACAAUUAACAAAGGAAGUUUUAAAGAGCCAUACUAGAGAAAGAAUAUUUCCUUAAAAUUGAGUUUAAGCUUUCCUAUAUUGUUGCUUUUUCUCAUUGCCCUGCUGUUCUCUUGGACAAAAAUCUGAGGGGGCUCUUUUUUCUACUCAAAUGACCAGGAACCUACAUCAAUGGCCUAAGCCUUACCUGUCUGCUUCUAUUGUCUCAAACACAAUUUCAGUGCCUUUGAAGGAAAACGAAGUAGCCCUUCCCAUAUGCCAGGAGUCUUUAGCAGAUAGUCCUGCUACCACACCCUGUUACUCUAGUAGUUCCCUAUUACUUUUAGGAUUAAAUAUAAACUGUUCUAUUUUGCAUUUAAAAUUCAUCACAAUUUAAAUAACUUCCUACUUUUUCUCAGUCUAGCCACCCUUCCUUACAACCCUCCUUCCAUUUCCUUACCUGUGCAGUGGCUGCCUCCAUGCCUGUCAUGUUUUUCCUCUACCUUUUGGAAUUUCUAUUUUCUUCCAAGAAUUAGUUUAAAUUGGUUUCUCCUUCCAUCUAUUGAUUCUACCUUCAUAGCCUCUCUAAUAUAGACCCUCUUCUCUUCUCUGACCCACCUCUGAAGCCCAGGUCCUCAUCAUUUCAUGUCUGGGCUAUUGUAAUUGACUCCUGAUGAGUCACUCUGCCUCCUAUCUUCCCUGCUCCAGACUGACCACUACUCAGCAAUCAAACUGAGCUCCAGAAUCUGUUCUCUAAUCACUGCCCUGCUUCAUUCUUAAGCAUUUUUCCAUUGUGUGUUCAUUUCCUUAGCCUCCCCACUAGUGGGACUUGUUUUAUUUUCUGAUGAUGAGUGUUUCUUUUACUCAAUCUGUUAUUAACUGGAAGCACUUUAUCUUCAGGAGCCACUGUCAAAGGGGCAUAAUUGGUGUUAGGGGCAAUUAGGGAGCAAGGAAGAUGUUGGAGGAUAGGAAAGUCAAGGGCUAGAGUAGUUACUAGAGUAGGAAAUAAUUUCAAACUUCUUCUUCAAACUUCAAAUUUCUUUGACCUACAGAUGAUUCUUGUGUCAAUUCUUCAAGGAAAACUGGAGGUAGAGGAACUGAGGGAAAGCACUGCAUAUAUAGGAGAUGGAGAGUGCAAAGGCAAAAAAAAAAUGGUAGAUGGAGCCCAGAAAGUUUAAGUAACUAACCCUAGAUCACACGGGAAAUAAAUGGGAGAGUUGGGCAAGUUAAGUACUAGUAAGUUCUUUCCUACAGAAUAGCCAAGUAGGAUAGCCAGGAAAAGGACCUGGGUCCUUCGUACAGUGUGAUAUAUCAAGACAGUUUCAAGGAUUAGAAGUCAGAGGAGCUAUCUUCAAAUGCCAGUUCUGUAUAUACUACCCAAUCUACUUUACCUCCUUAACCUCACUUUCCAAAACUGUAAAAAUAUGAAGUUGGAUUAUGGUCCUAAGGGCCCAUCUAGAACUAAGUAUAAAAUAUUAAAAUGUAUUGGAUUUUUUUUCACCAGCAAUCCAAGAGCAGGGAAUAGGAGAUGCUUCUACCAAAGGAAAACCAGGACUUUUGUGCUGUCCUUUUCAAUCUCUCCUGGAAAAACCCCAAGUUCAGGAAAACGAUCACAAAUCUGGCACAGAAGAAUGAUAUAGAGAAAAUAGAGGCAAUUUACUAUGAGCUCCCCCUUUUUCCCCUUCUCUUCAUAGUUCAAAAACAUUCUCUAUUUUUUCUUAUUUUAUUCUUGUCUCUGAUGAAAUGACCCUUCUCAAAAACAACUAACCCUUUCCAAUCACUCAGGAUCACAAAUUUCAUGUCAUUCUCUAAUUCUGAGUCUUCCUCACCUCCAAUAUCUACAAAUUGUUAUAUCUUUUCAACAACUUUUCUCAAAUCCAUCCCCUUCUGCCUGCUCACACAGCCCUUAUCCUAUUUCAGGUCUAUAUCACCUCUUACCUGAACCAUUGAAAUAAUCUUAUAAUCAGUCAAACUGCUUCAAGUCUCAGCCUACUCCAUUCCAUCCUCCACAGAGUUGCCAAAUUGAUUUUCCUAAAGUCUAAGUCUAACAAUAUUAUUCCCAUACUCAAUAAAACUAGUGAUCUUUAGAAUCAAAUAUAAUCUUCUCUGUUUGACAUUUAAAGCCCUUCAAUACCUGGCCCCAACCUACUGUUAAACUCUUAUUAUUCCCUUUCGUUUAUUCCCCUUCAGACAUUCUGAAGUCCAAUGAAUUCAGCUUUCUAACUUUUCCUCCCAAUACAGUACUCUAUUUUCCAUUUCCAUGUCUUUGUACCAGCCAUACCCCAUGUGAUCUCCCCUUACCUUCACCUCCUAGAAUCCCUGUUUUCCUUCAAGACUCAAGAGCCACCUUCUACAUGAAGACUCUCCUAAUCCCUCUGGCUGUUAUUGUCCUCCCCCCUAAAAAGUUAUCUUAUGGCCAUUUUGCAUAUAGCCAGUAUAUAACUAUUAUGGAUACAAUCUUUCCCCGAGUAGGUGCUUAAUAAAUAUGAUUGUGAUGGAGGAUUUCAGUACCCCAGAUAUAUGCUAGAGCUUUCUCUCUGCCAAAAGCAUAGUAGCCAAUAUUUUCCUUAAUGAUGACAGUGCACGUAGUGACAAUCCCCCAAUUCACAGAUUUCUCUAAGAACUGUUACCUCAGGUACAAAGUACAGUAUGGAUUGACAUCCCCUAAAAUGAUAUUCAUGGAUGUUUACCUAGAAUGGUCAGCCAGAGGACAAAAUUAGUUAUUCAGAUAAAGGUAUAGAUGUCAGGCUCAACAAAUUCACAGAUGGCAAAAAGCUGAAAGAGGUAGCUAACAUACUGGGUGACAAGAGUCCACUCCAAAAAGAUCUUGAAAGCCUAGAGCAUUGAGCUGAGUAUAAGAAGAUUAAAUUGAAUAGGGAUAAAUAUAAAGUCUUACACUUACACUGAUAAAAAAAUCAUCUUCCUGAGUCCAAAAUAGAAAUUUAUUCCUUAAAGAAAGUGAAUUUUAGUGGACUGAAAAUUCUCUAUGAACCAACUUUGAGCUAUGGUGAACAUACAAUGCUAAUUCUGUAUUAAGAGAGGCAUAACAACUUCCAGGAAUAACUUUUGCUUUACCACAUCUGGGAUGUAAUGUUCAGUUCUGGGCUCCAUUGGUGAUACAUUCGACCCACCUACAGACAUACAGUGAUGAACUUAAGAUACAGGACAAGGCAAGAUUUUUCAACAUGGAAAAUUUAGGAGUCUGUUUUGCUAGACUACACAUUUGUUACAAGGGGAUUUUUAUUUGUUUCUUUCUUUUAUAUGGGUGGGGAGGAGGAGAGUGGCAGAGCAGAGCCAGAAAGAAGAGAAAAUAAAGAAAGAGAGAAGAGAAAUGAAGUAUUAUUAGAGAUGAACAAAGACUCUUAGGGUCAUAUUUUCUAGAGCUUUACAAGAGCUAAACUGAGAAGUUCCAACUUUAUUCUGGAAGCAAUAGGAAGCUAUAGUAGUUGGUUAAGUAGGAGAAUCACACUAUCAGAUCCUUUACCUUCCCCCCCUGCCUGGAAUGUGCUCCCUCCUUACCUCCAAGUCAGAGUCCCUCUUUUCCUUUUAAGAUGCAGUUCAAGCCCCAUCCUCUGCACCAAACCUUUUGCCUAUCCACCCAAACUACUUCAUAUUUUACUACUUUGUAUAUAUACCAGUGUGUGUAUAUAUUUAUACAUCUAUCUGUUUAUAUCUCUAUUUACAUACAUAUCUACAUUUAUGCAAACAUAUAUACACAUACAUACAUAUACUUAUUAACUUUAUCUUUAUUUUGUAAAUACUUUUCUAUGCACAGCCACCCAAUUAGAGUUGGAAUGCAAGGAGGAAUUGUUUCAUUCUUUGGACUUGUAUUCUCCAGUGCUUGGAACAGUGCCUGAGACCUAGUAGGUGCUUAAUAUUUGUUGAUUAGUUGACCUCAUAUGAUAAUAGAAAAGGAAUAUUUCAAUUAUUGCAAAGUCAAUUUGAUUCAAGAUCAAUUCUAUGUGCAAUAAAGACCUCAGAGAUUAUUUAAUCCAAUCACCUCACCUUUUUUUAACCUUUACUUUCCAUCUUAGAAUUACUACAAUGUAUUGGUUUUCAGACAGAAGAGUGAUAAGAGCUAGGCAAUGGGGAUUAAGUGACUUGCCCAAGUUCACAUAGCUAGGACGUAGCCGAGAUAAAAUUUGAACCCAGAACCUUUCAUCUCCAGGCCUGAUUAUUCAUGAGUUGCCUAGCUAUCCCCCAAGUCACUUCUUUUGUAGAAGAGGAAACUGAGAAUAAAAGGAGUUAAAUGGUUUGCACCCCACAGCUAGUGUAAUGAGGAACAGAACUAUAAUUACCACCUAAGUUUCUUGACCCUCUUGCUCUUCCCUCCAACCUAUUGCCUCCCUGAUGAAGUUGAAAGUGUGACCCUUAUAUAAAACUCCUUAAAUUCACUCCCCAAAUUGAACAGUCACUUAUAACAGUCUUCCAAAAGAUAGAAUACUUACAUCUCUUUUGGAACAUUAUACAAGUCUUUAGAACUUUCUUUUUGGUAUCUUUGUCCCCGGGGGAGCAAAAUUUACAGAUGCACAACAUGAGUGCAGAGUGUGUAUCAUCAGUCUGAUAAAUUCUAGACUUUCCCCAUUCUUUAACCUAAUCCCAAACUUCUUCCUAGCCUGAAUUGUACCCCAGAGGCUGUGAGGAAGAUGGCAGCAGAGCAGUAGAAAUCGUCCUAAAUAUUGACUAGACUCACAGAGGGACAGUUUCAUUUAUCCAUGAAACAAAGAUCCUGCAAUUAGGGACCUCCCAAGACAAGCACCCUUCAGAUAACAAGGAGCUCCAGGCUGCUGGCUCCCCAUUAAGGAGUCAGAUCAAAGCCCUGAUAUUGACUGUCCUUUGUCUCCCACCCAGGGCUUAGACCAAUCUAAAUGUUCCCCCAGGGGAAGGACAGGAGGCAGCGGUCAAAUUCAGGUUUUUCAUGCUCCCCCAUGUGUCAAAAAUAACUGGAAGACUUCAAAACUGAGCCAGUGGUUGGUCAGGCAGUAUAGAAAAGAGAGACCCAAGACCCUCAUGGUUUACUCUUGGCGUCUGCCACACCAAAGUAACGUUUACUACCUGUGUGCAGGUAGUAUAGCAAGGAUAGAAACUUGCUGCCCUGACAUCUGUGAUUAAGCCUUCAUUAGAAUUAGGCCUCUGUAUUAUGGCAUGACUUUUUAUGUUACUUAUCUAAUUUGAAUUUAUUAUCAUAUAGAGGAUAAGCUGAUGGCCUCUACCUAUUUUCUGUCAAAUUACCUUUCAAUUUGGGUAGAAGUUUUAGUCAAAUAAAUCUUUGCAUUAAAUGUAGCAUUAGCUUCCCCAGCUGCCAUUGCCUGAAGGUCAAGUAUGUUCAAUUCCACUCCUCCCUAAUGCCUUGUGUUCUUCGUAACCAUUAAGGGAGGUUGGUAUGCAUUUAAGCUCUUAGCCCCCAUCUAUCAUGUUCACCUGGCUCUAGGGGAUCCUCUGCAUCCUUUUUCCUUAAAAUUUCCCUAAUUGCCAUUUAACCACUAACUUAACAAUAGGGUUAACUUUUACAAAGUACCAAAAAAACUUUUUCAAAGAAAUAUUUAUUUUAAAAGUAUAUUUACAAAUAUACAAACUCACUCUUCAAUAUAUUUGAGGUAGAAUAUUCUCCUCCCUCCCAUACUACCUUGGUUUCUGAGGAGAGGAAGAGAAUUAGGUUCACAGUUUAGCUCAGUUCCUAUAGAGCACAGUCCCAGUUCCAAGUACAAGACUCUUCCUCAGGCUUGAGUUCCAGGAGUUCUGGUGAUAAUUUACAGGCUUCCGUAUCAGCCUGUGUCUGGCUAUAUUCUCCCACCAGGAAUCCUGACUCCAGUCUCCAAGAUUUGUAUUUCCAGAUCUGAAGGGGAUCAUCACCUACACCUGGAGUUAAGAAGGACAAAUGACACAGAACAGAAAAAAAAAAGGUCCAUUUCUUCAAGCUGAGGGAAAAGAGGGAGGGCAGAGGAAGAAAGUCUUUUCCCCCUUCACCAGUUCAGUUUAUGGCAUCCUCCAUGCUGAGUGACCUGGGAAUCUUUACCCUCUUGACACAACUCAAAGGAGUGCAGGAAAAAGUUUGAGCCAGAAAGGAGAGUGACUAUCUCAGCCUCUUCAGUUUUAAAGAUAUAGCUUUUUCCAGCCUAUUCAGGCAAUGCACACAACAUUCCCAUUCAUAUGGAAGGAGAAAGUAACACUGUGUUGGACAAUCUGGGAAUAUCCUAGACCUGCCUCUUUAGGGGUAUCUCCAUGAUGGGCAACCUGGACAAUGCUCCAAAGGCCCUAUUAUAUAAAGAGAUCUGAUUUUUUAAGUCUUAACAUCUAAAAACCAAUGGGUAACACAAAUCAAAAAGAUUAAGACCCAGUUACCUUUAACAAACGUUCAAAAGAAAGGUACAAUUCAGAAUUACAAAAGAAAUAAUUACAAAAGAACAUUCAUAACUGAUUAAUCAAUUGUUUCAAAAGUUCCAAAUACUCUAGAAAAUGAAAAAUAUAUAUCUUCCAAAUGGUCAGAGAUGACAAAAGAUCAAAACAUUCAAUACUGAAGUCUAGAAGUCAUAAGCACUCAUUCAAAGCUGAUAGAGCUAUUUGGAAAACUAUAUUAAAUUGCAUAAAUCUUUUUUUUAACCCAGUGAGAGAUAGGCUAGGUGAUAGAGUGUAAAGAGCACUGGAUUUGGAGUCAGAGGUCUUGGGUUCAAAUUCUACCUCUGCUGCACCUCUCUAUUCCAUAGUUUCUUUGGCUAUAAACUGAAGGGGCCGUAUGAUCCACUUAUGUAUAAUCCCACUGAGUUUAUAACACAAGGAGGCUAAUAAUGAUGGGAAGAAAAGACAAAUGGAACUAUUCAAAAGAAUUAUUUAUAAUUAAAAGUUUGAAGCAAAGUGUGUCUAAGAAUUGAGAUAAGCCCAAGCAAAUUAAGAUAUAGAAAUGAGUUUGUAUUCCAAAUAAUGAAAAUACAAAGAAUUAAGAGAAACAUGAGAGAACUUGCAUUAAGUGAGGCAGAAUAAUGAAAGUAGAGUCAAAAGAAUGAUGUACACAAUUACUACAACCAUGUAAUUUAAGGUCUAGAGCAUUGAAUUAUUGACCUAUGGUCUAGAGCAGUGGUUCUCAACCUUUCUAAUGCCUUGACCCUGCAAUACAGUUCCUCGUGUUGCAGUGACCCCCAAACCAAAAAAUUAUUUUGGUGGCUAUUUCAAAACUGUAAUUUUGCUACAGUUAUGAUUCGGAAUUUAAAUACCUGAUAUGCAUUAUGUAUUCUCAUUGCUACAAAUUGAGAGGUUGAGAACCGCUGGUCUAGAGCAUACUCAGGUACAAGCUUCCAAAUUCCUUUCCUGAGGGAAUAACCAUCAACAAAAUUCAAAUCAAAUACAAAAGACAGUGUUAGUAGAUAUUUCAAAUUCAACACUUCCAAGAUGGACUUUGGUUUAUUGCCCCAAAAACUAAUCCCUCCUUCAAACUUCCCCAUUUCUGUUGAGGGUUCCACCAUCUUUCCUGUCACCAAUGUUCAAAGCCCAUAAGAUAUCCUUAGCAUCUUCCUCUAUCUACUAGCUACAUGAGCCUGGGCUUAAUCUCUCUGUGCCUCAGUUUUCUUAAUGCAAAAUAAGAGCUUUGGCCUCUAAGGUCCCUUCUAGCUCCAAAUCUAAGAUUCUAUGAUUCACUUCAUUGCCAAUUUUUUUUUAUCAUUUUCCAUAAGCUUUCUCACAUCCACCUCCUUUGCUCCUAUAACAAAGCCUCUGCCCUGGUUCAGACUUUGGUCAUCUCUCACUAGGACUUUUGCAAUAAAAGUCUCUUAAUUGUUCCCCUUGCCUCAUAUCUCUUUUCUGCCCAAUCCACCCUCCACUUAGCUCAAAUUAAUAUUCCUAAAAUAUAGCCAUGACCUAUUCAAAACAUUUUAGUGUCUCCUUUUACCUGUAGCAUAAACUGCAAACUUUUCAGUUCUCCAUAAUAUAUGAAACACAUACAUUUUGGCCCACCUCUCUUAGAGCCAGGCAGGCUAUGUCUCCCUCUUAUUAUUCACAGGUAUUCUGAGGGAUUUGAAGUGUCUCUUUUCUCUAAAACUAUCACCUCAAUCCCCUACUGGCAGCAUUCUCUCCACUCCACUUCUUAGGAGCUAGUGACUAGCACCCCAGUUCCAUUUAACCACUUAACAUCAAUUAACUUUUACAAAGGGAUAUUAACUUUAAAGGUAUAGCAAGAACACAUGUACAAACAUUUUCCCCAACUCCUUGCAGGUUUGCUCUUUCCUACACUACCUUGGUCUCUAGGGCAGCAUGCUUAACACUUGGCUCAGUUCCUACAUAGCAUUAGUCCCACCAGAUUCAUGACCAAAGUUGGCACAUUGUUGCCUAAUGAGUCCCCCUCCUGGGAUGGAUUCUUGAUGGUCACUCACGAGGAUCAUUUCUUAUACGUCAGGGGUAUCACUGAUGCUCCAGAUGGCCUGGACUCUGGUUCCCAGAUUCCUAUGGCUCAGAGAUUCCAUUCUUAGACCUAGAAUGGAACAGGACAAAUGAUAAAAGCCAAGAAUCCAGGCCUGAGGCCAUAAGAGAGAGCAGGAUUCAUGCUUUUUCUAAAUGAAUGUGGCUGAUAGUCUAUUUUGAAGACACCAACAGUUCUGGCUGUGCAGUUAGUGGAAAAGGCUGCUCCCAACUGAAAUAAUUGUAUAUAACUAAAAUAAUUGUUUCUAGAAAGAUACCUGAUAAUAAUGGAAGUUUAGUAGGUCAAGGAAUGAUUGUUUAGGACCAGUAUCAGAAGGGCACAGGAUUUGGAAAGGUCAACAAGAUAAAGCUUAUAGGAUAACAUGCUAUUAAACAGGGUUUAUUUAAGAUAAGGGAAGGAAGAGAAGGGAAUUGGGAUGAUCUAUCUAAAGAAUAUAAAUAAACCUCCCACCAAAUCUACUUGGUAACUUCAGAGAGGUAGUAUGUGCACUGUCAAUUACCUCUCUACCUAAGAGUCCCAGUUCCUAUAAUAAAAUACAUUUCACUAACCCAAAUCCCCCCCCCCUUAGAUGGUGAUAGAGGUAGUAAGGUUGGAAGGUAAGCAGGAGCAUGGCUCACAGGGAAGCUCUCACUGACAGAUGGCUUUCAGUAUCUCAAGCAGCUCUGUAGGAAUAUCUCUCAGUCAGCAUCAGCAAGAUACACAGGAACAGGUAGUUGGUAAGAUGGAUCACAAGGAAAGCCACAGGAGAGAGAAUAGCUAGUUCACUAGGUCCACCCUAGGAGACUAGACAAACUCAACAUCCUGCUUAACUGUCUGUUAGAAGAAAAAACAGUCCUAUCACUUCUCCAGAAUUCUGGAACCUUCCUGCUUCUUCCUUUACAGCAUCCCCUCCUGCUCAUUUCCUUAUAACAUAACCCACAGUUAUCCAACCAGAACUUGUUACAAAAUGUUCUCACUUGCUCCCCACUAUCCCCAGGCCAUUUCUGAAAGGAAGUGUCACUGCCUUUUAAUUCUCCUAGAAGCUAUCUCUCCAGCAUUAUAGGGACUUGGAGAGAGAUCAUCCCUGAAAGCCAAGAUGGUCUCUGCAUGAGCCAGAUGCCCAUUGCAUAUGGUUCUUGCCUAACUUGACUAUUAUCUGUGUUACAUAUUAUUUUCUUUAGCAUACUCUCUAUUCCAGUCAAACUAGCUCCCUAAGAAGGUUUCUUGCCUUGGUUCUUUUGUACAAGUGGUCCUCCAUGUCUGGAAGGAACUCCUUUCUCAUCAUGGCUUUGUAUGAUCCCUAACUUCCUUCAAAGUACAGCUCAAGUGCCAUAACCUCCUUGAAGUCCUUCCUAAUCUUUCUAUUUAUUAGUCUUCAUUUCUCUUGAAAUUACUUUUGUACUAUUUUGUACACACUCCAAUAUUUAGGCAUGCAUAUGUUUUCCUUUCUGUAGAACUUAAACUUUUUGAAGGCAAAAAUUUUUUGCAUUUUUUCUUUGCAUCCACACCACCUAGCACAGUGCCUUGCACCUAGUAGGCACAUGGUAACUUUUAAUUGUGUUAAACUGAAUUGAUAACAAGUCAUUAAAUGUAAAAGCAUAUCUUUUCUGUUAACAAGCUAUAAACUAUAGGAGUAGAAAGUGACAAGUGAUAAAUUCUGUCGGUCAGAAUCACUAAAGUAGAUGAUGAUUCGACAGCUUUUUGGAGAAGGUACUUUACAGGUAUUGGUUAAGAUGUUUUGGGAGAUGUGCUUUUGUCUCAAGACAAACUUUAUCUUUGAAAAAAUAAAAAUACUUGAAAGAAAAUGGAUAAUUUGUGUGAAUCAUUCCACAGUUCCUAGUGGGAACUGAGCCAUACUUAAAGGAAUGAUGACAAAUUUAAGUGUUUAGACACAUUAACAGGUUUAUUUUGGAAAGAUGACUUUUAGAAUAUGCCUACUAUAGAAGAAUUUAUCACAAUGUUUGGAAUCUGAAAGAAGCAUUCUAUUCAACUAACCCUAGGACUCAGCACGCUUCCUAGAAUAUAGAAGGCUCUUAAUAAUUGCUUAUUGAUUGAUUGAUCACUCAUUAAGAUGUGAUUAAACUCAGGACACAAAGAGGAGAGCCAGCAACACCUAAGAAUAGCUAGGAAGAGGAGAAUUGAGGUGGAGCCACUGGAGCUGGGAUGAAUAGCAACUCACACUGGACUGAUACUACCUCAGUCUGCAUUCUUUUGAAACACUUUAGUCUAAGGUUUAGAGCAAUAAAAUGCUGUCAUAUUAGACAAAGCCCCAUUUAGAGUUCCAUCCAUGUUAUUUAGUUAGUUUGAGAGGUGACUAUGAAGAAAAGCCUUAGCAACAAUUAAACUGUGAUGUCCACUGAAAUUCUCUAAUUUCAAUGAUGCCCAAUGAAGUCACAUUUGGGGAGUAGAGAAUGGGUCAGGGAAAUGUAUGUGUGCAUGUGCAUGAGUACACACACAUUAGCACAAGUUUGAGCAUGUGUGAAAAUAGUAUUUUUUAUCAAGAACCUGGAGAAAUAGGGGGAAAAGAUGGGGAAUAAUAGCACAAACAAUCUGUGACUAUUUGGAUGAGGUCAUUCGCAAAUGGGUACUCCAGAGACGCACAUGGCCAGACUGAUCCUUAUAUACUGAAAAGAAAAUAAUCUCAAAUCUAGCUGUUAUUAUUUAGCAGUUGCCAGAAGUCUUCCUUAAUAUAAGCCCAUACCAGACAUCUUCUCGGCAACAUCACCAUGUCUGAGUUGAUGUGGAAUUGUUGAUUUGACUGCAUUCACAUUUUAGUAGAUUUGGGGAAGGAUUGUCAAAAUUUUCAUGAAAGGUCUUUUCCCAUUGAGUAUCAGUGGUUAGAAUACUACCAGUCCCUUCUUUGCCCCUCAUCCUGAUAAUUCUAAAUACACACACACACACACACAUACACACACACACACACAAUCACACACACACACACAAAUCCCAUUCCUCAACUCCAACUGGUUGUUCUUUUACUCCUAUUUUCCUUAAUCUUACCCCUGUGAUCAAUCUUACCCCUAUCGGAUCUAUCCACUCAUUCCACUCUACCCCCUUGGUACAUAAUUGAAAAACUUCCUAUUCCUUUUUCCUACAAUCAGGUGGCAUUCAAUGAGACCUGGAUCCUCUCUGAUGACACCAUUUAUCUCACCACCCUUUAUAGUUCUGACUAUACUCUCAUGCCUCUAAGUCACUAGUGUAAUAGCGAGGGGCACUUUGAACUUGUUCACACUAGAUAAGGAUGGGAGAGACAAAAUGCUCCUUGUUCCUCUCAACCACUUCCAGACUCUACCUCUAACAACAUCACCAAUCAUCUACUCCUCCUUUUAAAUUCAUACUCUCCAAAUUUAUUACUCAAUUCAGAUACUAGUGACUCUUACCUAUAUUCAGCAUAGCUUCCUUUCUUUUUCAAUGAGUUCAGUGUCCAGCUCCCCCUUUCCACCUCAUCUCCUGCCAUCCUACAAAAAGUGGCUUUGAGAUAUAUUUUGAUGGUUCCUCAUAUACCCUAACUUUCAAAUUCUUCAAUCUACUGAGUUCCCAUGCUCUGCUCCUCUACUCUACCUUAGCUACUCAUAGAGGUGGUCAUAUUUUUUAUCUUUCAAUCACCUACAAAUGUUCUGCUUCCAAGUUCACAAACUCUUUAAAAUCUCCUUAAUAUUAUUAGGAUAUAUAUAAUUUUAUAUUAUCAGAAUAUAUGUAAUAUUUGGUUAUACCACAUUAUUAAUCCUUAUCUAACCCUGUUCUUAAGCUUCAGGACCUCAAUUCCCUCUAUCCCUAAAUUUGUUUCCAGAUCAUCACAACUGCACUAAUUAUAUUUUCCUCUUUUCCUUAUCUGAACUCCUUCAUGAACCAAUUCAACUCUACCUCUCUGAAACAUUUGACACUGUUGAUCACUUUCUCCUCCUGGAUACUCAGUCCUCUCAAGUUUUCAUCACAGUUUCUCCUGGUUCUCUGCCUAGCCAAACACUCCUUAGUCUUCACUGAUGGUCCUUUUCCCAUUUCAUGCCCACUAACCUUGGGCAGAAUCCCCUAAGGAAGCCAGGCAUGAGAUUUCUUCUCUUUCCCCUCAAGACCAAGAGUUCUUAACCUGAGAUCCAUGAACUUGUUUUUUUUUUUAUAUUUCUACAACUCUUAUUUGAAUAUAAUAGAUUUUCUUCAUAAUCUUAUGUAUUCUUUUAAAAAUCAUGUGUUGGUUAUGGAAAUUGUUGUUAUAGGAAAUGAUAAGCAGGAUAAUUUCAGAAAAUGCUAGAAAGAUCUACAUGAAACUGAUGCAGAGCAAAAUCAAUAUUGUACAAUAAUCAAAUCUGAAAGACAUAGCUAAUCUCAGGAAUCCAAUGAUCUGGAACAAUUCAGAAAAAUUUAUGACAAAGAAUGUUAUCCACCUCCAAAGAAUGAACUGUCAGAAUCAGAUAUAGAUCAAAGCUUACUAUCUUUCAUUCUUGGAAGGGCUGGUUUUAUAUAAGUAUACUUUUACAACAAUUACUAAUAUGGAAAAAAGUUUUGCAUGACAAUAUAUAUGUAUAUAUAUGUAUGUAUAUAUAUAUGACCCAUAUCAAAUUGCUUAUCAUCUCCAAGAAGGGGAUCCUAUGUUUUCAGAAAAUGUAUGUUAAAAUUUAUUACAUGUAUUUGGGAAAAUAAAAUGUCUUUGAAUUUUAAAAAUUUAAAAUAAAAUAAUAUAAAAUGCCAUCAAAAAGAAGAAACAAAAACAGUAUUCCAAAAAAAGGUCCAUGAGCAUCACCAGACUACUGAAAAGAUGUAAGAUACCGAAAAAAUUAAGAACACCUCAUUGGGUGAUUUUAUCAACUCUCACAGGUUCAAUUAUUAUCUCUAUGCAAAUGACUUCCAGAUCUUUAGAGCCAAUCUUUGGCUCUUUUCUGAACUAUAGUCACAUUCCACAAACUGAUUUUUGUAUGUCUUAAACUAGAUGUCUAGUAAAAGUCUCAAACUCAACAUGUCCAAAAAUGAACUCAUUGCCUUCCCAAAAACUUUCCUCUCUUUCAAAUUUUCCUUUUUCUGUCAAGAGCACCACCUUCCUAUCACCUUACACCUAACUUACCUAACACCAUAAUUUGACUCUUCCCUCUUAUCCCAUAUAUUCAAUAUGCUUUCAAAUCUUGUCAUUUCUAUAUUCACAACAUCUCUCAUCCAUAUUCCUUUGUCUUCAGUCACAUAGCCAAAAUCCCUAUCUCUCGCCCUCAUCACCUCUCACCUAGACUAUGAUGAUAACAUUCUAACUAGGUCUUGUUUUAAAAAAAAAAUAUUUAAAAAAAGGAAGGGAUGUAGUCUAGAGGGGAGUAGGGGGGGAAAAGUCUCCCUGGCUCAAGACCCUCCCUAUUCCAAUAUGCCCUCCACUCAGAUACUGAAAUGAUCUUUCUAAAGUCUAAGCCUGACCAUGUGACUCUCUACUUAGAGAGCACCAAAGACUUCCUAUUAUCUCUAGGAUCAAAUAUGAAGUCUUCCAUUUGAACUUUAAAGGUCUUUAUAACCUGGUGCCUUCAAGUAUUUCACAUUUCCUUUCACUUACUUCCUAUCUGAUGACAUAUUAUUUUCUCGAAGGUCCAGUAAUACUGGUCUACUUGACUUUACUAAAACAUGACCCCCAUCUCCCACAUUUAUGGCCUUGCAUUGGCUGCCCUGGUGCCUAGGAUGCUCUCUAUCCUCACUUCUUCCCCUGGUUUCCCUCAAGGAUUUAGCUAAAAUCCUACCUUCUGCUUGUUAGCAUGGAAGCUUUUUGAAGGCAGGACCCAAUUCUGCCCUUUUUUUGGCUCCCUAGCAUUUAGUACCAUGCCUAGCAAGCCUUAAGUUCUUUUUUUCCAUUUAAAAAAUUUCAGUCACAAGUAGGAACAAUUUUUGACAAUUGUUUUUUGACAUUUUAGAAGUCAAAUGUUCUUGUUCCUGCCUCUCCACUCCCCUUCUGGAGGCAAUGAAUAGUCUGAUAUAGGUUAUACCUGUACUUUCAUAUAAUACAUAUUUCCAUAUUGCUCAUGCCAUAAUGAAAGAUAUGUGGCAUACAUACAAAAGAAAUCUCAUGAAGGAAAUAAAGUGGAAGAUGGCGUGCUUUGAUCUGCAGUCAGACUCCAACAGUUCCUUCUUUGGCUGUGGAGAGCAUUUUCAUCAUGAGUCCUUUGUGGUUAGCUUAGAGACUUGCUUUGCUGAUAGUGAAUUAGCCCUUCACAGUUGCUGUAUAAUAAUUUCUGCUACUGUGUACAUUGUUCUCCUAGUUCAAAGGAGAAAGGUGGACUUUCAUAAAGAGAUGUUGAAAGUUUGGGAUGCCCCUUUUUUUUUUAAGCUUUCAAUCAAUUGGAUUGGUAUUGAAUAAGGGAAAGUGAAGAGGCUUUCAAAAUGUCUCCAGAGGUACAUGGUGGGAAGAGGAUGUGGGGCAAGGGGGGAAAUGCUGUCAUUUUUGACAGUAAGAAAGAAGAAAGGUAGGCCACGUGUAGAAAUUAGUGAGCCAGAAGAGUGGAUGGGGUAUUAUAUUUGCAUUUGUGAAAUUUGGGACAAAUUAGAUUAUGAUACCCUAGAAGGAAGGGACUGAAUUUUUAUUUUUGCAUUUGUAUUCCCAAUGCCCAGAAUAGUUCAUUAUAUAGAGCAGACACUUUUAAAUGUUUGCAGAACUAUUUGUUGAACUGAGAAAAGGGAUGAUAGCAAUUGGGGUCACUGGUGUAGCUAUUCAGGUGAAUUAGAACAAGUAUGUGUUUGUGAACAAGUUAGUGAACACAAAGAUAGAGUUUCUGGAAGUUUUUUGGGGCAUUCACCUGCAAUAGUUGGGCUAGAAUCUGUGAAUCUAAGUUGCUAUUUGGAAAAAGCAAUCAUCUUUUUCACUUUAUUUGUCCCCAAAAUCUCCCUUAUAUUUCUCAGAUUUUCUUUCCUAAGAUUCUCUCAAUUGCCAUGUCUAUUUCCUUGUUAUAAAGGAAGGCUGUGUGGCAAGGGAUUGGAGGGGCAGAGGUAGGAGAUGAGGAAUAAGGGAGCAAAGCAGAGCAAGAGACCAUUGAUGAAGAAACCUAGGUCCAGAUGCUUUCAUGCCCUGAUUCUAGCCCAUUUUCCAAGGUUUAUAAACAUUAUGUCCUGUCAUUCACUCUAAUCCAGCCAAGGUCACCUUUAACUGUUUCUCUUAAACUACAUUCCAUUCCCUGUUUCCAAAAAAAGACUGACUUCCACAUGUGAAAAGAAUUCCUUUCUCAUGUAAGAGUCUUACUACCACUAGUUUCCUUCAAAGCCCAGUUUCUACAUGGGUCUUUCCAUAUCCCUCAGAGGCUUGAGACUCUCCCUACAAAAUUACUUUAUAUUCCUUGGUGUCUACGUAUAUUUAUAUGUUUUGUUGCCCCCAAGGCCCAAUCCAGCACUUGGCAUAUAGUAGGCACUUAAUAAAUGUUUGUUGUUUGACUAAUUGAUUAAUUAAUCACCCAAGGUCACUGUGAUAGUAUAAUGGAAGUGCCAAGAAUAAGAGGAUGCUAUGAUUUUGAGUUCAAUGCUCUUUUCCCUAUACCAUUCUAUAUAUCUAGAUUUGACUAAAGUAAAAACAAAAAGCAUCAGUAAAACUCAGUUUUUUUUAAAGAAAUGAAUCAAUGAAUUCCUAAAUGGAGAGGUAGCAGGAUACAUAAGCAUUUAUUAAGCACUCUGUGCCAGGCACCACAAUAAGCACUCUACAAAUAUUAUCUCAUUUGACCCUUACAACAACCCUGUAAGGCAGGUGCUAUUAUUAUCCACAAUUUAUAGCUAAGGAAACUGAGGCAAACAGAAGUUAAAUUACUUGCCCGGGAUCACACAGUAAGUUUAUGAGGCUAGAUUUGAACUCAGGUCUCCUUGAUUCAAGGGCCAAUAUGCUCUCCAUUGUACCACCAGCUGUCUUAUGUGCAUACACACAUCUUUAUAAUAUUUUCCCCAAAGGAUAGGACUUAGUAGGUACAGCAUCUGUCUAAGACAGAAAUUCAUACCCUAUUUCAGGUGUGGUUUUAGUUUUUGUCUCUACAAUUUUAGAUAAAAUCCACUGAUCUCAGGAGCCAAUCAUCUGAAGAUGAAUGCCUGAAAUGAGAUGAGAGAUUUCCAGACUAAUCUGUUUUCUUCUGACUCACUUAAAUCUUUAUACUUUUUGUUCCUCCAAUGGAACUACAUUUGCUUCAGUCCCUAAGAAUCACAGAAGAGGUAGAAAUUGAAGACUAAGAAAAAGAACUGGGAAUUUAGGGUCCAUUCGAUUUUUUUUAAACCCUCAUCUUUCAUCUUCGAAUCAAUACUCUUCCUAGGUAGAAGAACUGUAAGGGCUAAGGCAAUGGGGGUUAAGUGACUCACUCAGCCACCUAACUGCCUUCCAGAGUCCCUUAGAGUAAAAAUAAUUCUUCCAAUUCUAAAUUUUCCCAGUAUAUGGGAGUCAUGAAAAUGAGGUGAGUGGGAAAGGACCCUAUGGGAAAGUAUCCUUUUGCUUGGCUUGUGUUGACAGACUUUGGCUGUAUUGAUCAGUUUUGCUAAACUUCUUUUCUCAUUUUUCUUUGUUACAAGGGAUAGUAUGCUUGGGAGGGGGGGAAUAUAUUCAGAAAUGAAGGUAAUUUUUAAAUUUUUUAUAAAGGAAAUAGAUGAGGCAGCUAGAUGGCUCGGUGAAUUAAGAACUAGACCUCAAGACAUGAGGUCCAGAGUUCAAAUUUGACCUCAGACAUUUUCUAGCUGGGUGUCCUUGAGCAAGUCACUUAUCCCCAUUGCCUAGCCCUUACCUGUCUUCUGCCUUGGAACCAAUACAUAGUUGACAAAGCACAUAAACAUAUACAUAUACAUAUCUAAGACAAAAGAUAAGAGUUUUUUAAAAUAAAAAAAUAGAAAAAAAUGAACUACCUUUUUGAGAGCUGAGGGCAUGUAAGGAUUUAGUGGUUGCCAUGUUUAUUUAAUCUGAGCCUACUUAUUGAUGAUGUCUUAGACUGGUGCUGUGUCUGAUAGUCAUGUAUAUCCCCAUAGGUUUGCAGAGUAGAAUGGUUGCUGCCUAGAUCUAAACUUUCUCGAACAUUUUGAGUCAAUACUGUUGGGAAAAGAGCAAAUGUGCUUAGUACUGAAGCAAUAAUACCUGGGAAUUUGAAAAACCCUCCCCAAGUUCAGCUUUGAUCAUUUACCACCAUGUCAACGUAGAAGAGAUGCUAGCUGCUAAGACUAACAAGAAGGUCUCCCAGGAGGCAGUAGGCAAGAGCUAGACACUGUGUCUGGGGAAGACAGAGAAAGGUCAGGAGAAGAGAGGAACUGGGCUACCUAAUUUCCAGGAAGAUGAAGAGAAAGUGAGACUUAUGGCAGAUUUAGGAGACUGGAUUCAUAAUGGGGGCUAAGAGAGUGUUGAGGAAGAACUAUCAAUGGAUGUUCCCUGAACAUCUUUGACAUUAUAUACAAUCUACAAAUGAUUUCUAUCCUCUGUCCCUCCAAAUGGUCCCAAGUCCUGUCCUCUGCUAUAUACAAAUGAGCUAUAAUAGAGGAAUAUGUACAUGCAGGCGCUGUGCAAGCAUUAGAAACAAAACACAUCUUGUGUGUUUAUAUCCAAAAUUCCAUUCUCUUGAUUCUUCUCUAUUUGUCAUCUGGAGAUCAUAUUGUCAACUCUCUUCAUUUUUAUUUUCCGAUAAAAAAAAUAAAGUUCUAAAUAAAUUAAGUACUAUUAGAGAAGUGUAUUCCAGGGACACACACACACACACACACACACACACACAGAGGAAAGUGAUUCCCACCCCCACCCCCAUUCAGUUGAUAAGGCACUAGACUGUGACAAACCAAACCUUAUCUGAGCUGAGCAACUAUAUUUCUAGGACCUGUGGGUGAGAUCAGGUUUACAGUCAUAAGAAGGAAAGAACUCAGUGAUCUCUCUUUGAGAGUAGGAGGGAGUUUGUUGAAGGUAGAAGAAGAAUAGACUAGAACCCAGGAAAUUCCAGCCCCAAAAACUAAACAUAAGUGGUGUGGCUGGGUUUGCCCUGGGGGAGUGAAACAGAGUCAGGCAAGAAGGAGAUGACUAACCAAGACUGGGGUCUGCUAAGAAGAAUAAAGUUAAGUUGGUUUUUUUUUAACCCUUUCAUAUUAAAAUCAAGACUGUGUAUUGUCUAGUAGCUGUUUAAGGCAGAAGAGUGGUAAGGGCUGAGCAAUGGAGGUUAAGUGACAGCUAGGAAGUGUUUUGAGUUAAAAUUUGAACCCAGCACCUCCUGUCACAAGGACUGCAUCCAUCCCCUUUCUCAGAGACAUAUGGAAAAGAAAACAUUUCUUUAAUGGACCCAACAGGGAAGAUGCAGCUAAAGGCCAAGAGGAACAUGAGGCUUCCACUUCUUCAGUUUAUUAUGCCUUCUCUUUUCUUAUUUCUCGUCAAUUUUCAUCAACUGAUCAAGAGCAUCUAUUGCUCCUAGGUUUAAAAAAAAUCAGCAUUGUAGAAGAAACAAGCUGAAUUGGAAAUGGUACUGAAAAUGGACUUGGAUAUUUGAAGUGGCAGUGGGAGAAGGAAGAAGGAGAAAGAUUUCUCUCCCUACAAUGUCUUCAAAAUGAACUUGCUUUGGGAUUCAGAGACCAGUCUGGAAAAACACAAGUGAAAAGAAGGAAAGCAUAAAUAUUGGAUCCUAAGAUGAUGCUGAAAUAAGACCUUAAUGUGAACCUCUCAACUGAAUGGUCACCACAAUAGUAGCCACCUCUGAGGCUUUCUAUGGAGUGGGUAUUCCCUCCCCUGGAGACUCAGUUAGGGUCAAAUUUGAGCUGCCAUGUUUUUCAUCAAGGAAUUAAGAAUAAAGGGAAAUGUCCAGAAAAUAUGGGUUGAAAUCAAAAUUCUACACUAGUGAAAUCAACCUGUGUAUAAUGAAAGACUAGGAUCAGUCAGGAGGCAAUCACCAAGGAGAAGAAAAAGCUAAAACAUUCCAGAAGCUUUACUAUAUUAUGAAUCAUUUGUAGUCUUGUAAAAACAAAAUGCAAGAAGUGAUCUGUGAAUGACACAAAAUUGUAAAGGCUGGAUUUCAUCUGUCACAAAGUCUACCUUUAUCCAGUCUUUUCAUUUCAAUUUCCAUGACGAGGACUCCAAAAACUGCAAAUAGCACCUGCAUUGGCAAGCGCGCUAAGGAGCAAAAUUCCUAAGCAGAGUACCAGAAACCUUCUGUCUCCAAAACUUCUGCUUUCACAGGAAGGAAAUUAACUUAAAGAUGAGAACAUUGAAGGGAAUAAUGAGUGUAGAAAAAAAUGGGAACGGACAGGGGAAGGGAAGAGAAGAGAGGAAAAGAGAAGAGGAAGAAAGGAGAAAAAAGGACGAAAGGAGGAGGGAAUGGUUCUAAAGGAAAAUUUGCUGAAUCCACAUUUCCAUGCUUGCUUCUCUGUAGAAAGUGGAACCUCCACUAUAGCCAAGUCCCAUACCUAUAAAAAAUAAAUCGAUGCCACCUCAAAACAAAGGAAAAGUGGAAGAAUGCAACUUGGUGGAGUAAGAAGAGAGAGUAGCCCAAGCAACACAGAAUCAGUGAGAACUGGCAGAAUUUAGAGUAGCCUGCCACACAAAUCUACUAGAGACAACAAAGCUACAAAAUGAGUAGGAUUCCAGCCCGAGCAGGAAUGCAGAAAAGGAAGGAAACUCCACACUCCUACUUGACAGCAGAGCCCAGGAGGCUGCAGGGGAGAAGAAAGGGGAACCAGCUGAACUUCAGGAAACUCCGCACCCCAACAUGGUAGCAGAGGGCCUAAGGCAAGGGACCCACUUGGCAGGAGCAGAGAAGCAGUAGAGUGGAGAGCACCCCAGCCCACAAAACAACAAGGUGCUGAAUAUAAAUGGACAAAAGUUGCAAACCUCCCCAGAGCAAGGCAGCAGGACCACCUCCUCAAAAUAUACACUGUGAGAAACAAAAGUAGCCAGCCAUACCCCAAGUACCAGAGAAUGAGUACUCUAGAGGCUUGAAGGAGUCCACACAGAAACAGAGAAGAGCCUCAAUAAGUAGAUAUGGUAAUGGAGGGGUGUAAAAAUUAAAUUUAUAUCUCCAAUAAUACAAUUUUAGGAGGUUUAUUAAAUAAUCAUUAGAAAUCAAGGAAUAAAGAGGAUACAAAAUAAAAACCACAUGCCCAUGGCUGAUUAUCCCAUUUGAAAUCCCCACACUUAGCUUACCACCAUACUUACUGCAUCAUUGCAGAGGAAGAGAGAAGGUGGGAGGCAUUACUAUCAGUUAAAUACCAAUAACAUGAUCUUACCAACAUGGAGACAUGGGAAAGAUUAUAGGGAAUUCUGGGAAAUAACAAGGACUUCUGGGGAAUGAAGUCUAAGGUUCAAAAUCUCCAUUUAUACAUUCCCCCCUGAGACCCAUGGAAGACUAGUCUCUCCAGUAGGUCUUGUAAACAUACCAGCUAUGAAAUUACAAUAAUUUGACGAUAGAGGAAGAGAACAAAACCAAUAAUUGCUAGGUGCAUUGACAAAAAGCCAGUUAGGGGGCAAUCCCCUUCAGCAUAAGAGUAUACAUACAAAAUAAAUGCAUUUAAAACCCCACGCAGUUCAAAUAACCACAUUCCAAAGUUCACUCUGGAUCUUCUGGUGCAGCUUGUGGUCUGUGGAGGCAUCUCUAUGGUAUCUUCUCCAAACAGUUCACUUUCUGGAUUCAAAGAGGUAGUAUGUUUCUUAACCUAAAAUUACUCUCAAAAGGAAUGUAAAAGGAAUUUAAAAUAAUAAUUAUACAUACCCUGCCCCUGAAGAAGGUGAUUGAGAAACCCAGGGAUCACUUAGGGAUGCAUAGCUGAGUUAUAAGAUAUAUGAAUCAAUUGGCAAGAGAAAUCAAAAAUAUUUAAAAAUCUAAAUAAAAAAGAUAAUUUCUGGAUGAAAUGUAAACUAUCAAAGUAUUUUGUGUAAAAUUUCUAAGUAAAGGAAAAACAAAUCUAUAACAGGUCCUCGAAUCAGGGCCCAAUGAUAUAAGCAAUUAAGCAUUUACCUAAUCAGUAGUCAGAACUAUAGAAAGUUUGCCACACCAUAAAAGACAGAAAAGGGACUAGAUUAUAGGAGCCAGGUAGGAGCCAAAUUUGAGAUACUUGGUAGAAUGUGGGACAAGGAAGACCUGCCUUUAACACAUGUUAAAUAGCUACAAUCUCAGACCCUAAAAAAGUUCAAGUCCUCUUGUCAUGGCUCAAAAUUUUCAUCAAUGCCAUAGGGAUUGGUUGGUUUCUUUGACCUUGUGCUCAAUUGGCAUUAUGCAGUUUAGCUUUGUGCUUCUUUGGCACUGUACAAUGGCUAUUUUUGUAUUCUCUUGUCCUGGAAUCAGACAGAAUCAUUAAGCAAAGUCCCAUAAUUUUUUUAUUAAUUAAUGGCAUCAUUUUUAUAGUCUAAGGCUUUUGGCAUAUGCAUUGACAUUAGGGCCAAUAUAUUUUAAACUUAUAUUGCUGCAAAAUCAAAAGAGUUAAAUACAAUCUUUUCAAUACUGAUGAUGUGAUUCAAAUACAAAAAGGAGAGAAAAAAAAUUAAAAAACUGAAAUAGUAUAUUGCACAUGCAAGCAAAAACAAUAAAAGAGUUUUAAAAAUAAAAAAUAUAGCUUAUAAUCAUUGACACACUGUGUCAGCUAAGGAAAUUUAGAGUACAAAGGUUUCUCACCAAAAAUGAGAUCCAUUUCCUCUUCAAACCUGGCCAUGAUCCACUGUGAGUGCAAAGGAAAUUAUUUUCACAAAGUAACAGUUUUUUAUAAAGAACAGCAUGUAAUGCACAUUCAAAAGUAUCAGAAUCCCCAAAGUUAUAAGAGCCUAUUUAAAAUCCCCACACUUGGCUUCCCACCAUACUUGCUGCAUCAUUGCAAAGGAAGAGAGAACGUGGAAGGUGUUACUGCCAGUUAAAUACCAAUAACAUGAUCUCGCCAACGUGGAGAAGCAGGAAAGAUUAUAGGGAAUUCUAAGAAAUACCAAGGACUUCUGGAGAAUGAAGUCUUAAGGUUCAAAAAUCUCCAUUUAUUGGGUUUUGUCAAUGCACCUAGCAAAACCUUUGUUUUACUGUCUCUCUUCUAUUUCCCUCUUUGACUAUUGUAGUUUCCUCUUAGAAGGUGAAGUUUUGUAUGCACCUGUAGUUAGAAAAUUUUAGAGGUACAAGAUGGUUGUUUAGUGAUCAGUUCGAGAGACUGGUCCCCCAGUCAUCAUCAGGAAGGAUUGUGAAUUUUAGUUUUACUCCACCCUGCUUAGUCUUUAGAAUUCUAGCAACCAGGAAUGUAUACACUCCCACUUAUGGAUUAAGUCGGGGGAGGAAAGGCCUAUGACCUGUGUGUGCUAGCAAGUGACGAAUCAGAAACAACUGACUGACCACUUGGGCUGUCCUAAACCAAAUUUAAGCCACCAUGGUACAUGUGCGACACAGGAAAUGAUUUAAAGAACUGCCUUUAUAUUUCGCGUCACUUCCUGUGAGAGGGAUUUUUUGCAGACUUGGCUGUGGGACUCGACCCUAGAGAAGCUCAGCAUGAAACAUCAGACUGUUUUCUUUUAGCCAGUCACAUGGUAAGUGAUAAGGUUGGCUCCCCCUUUCCUUGGCUUUCUGGAGAGGCCCCUUGGCCAAGGCCUCUGAACUCCUGCCUGUCUCAGACAGGAUAGAGCAGAUCAAUUCCCUUUUCCCUCUCUCCUUCUUAAUUUCUUCCUUCUAUUGUAAAUAAACAACCAUAAAAUUCCA